GUCUAUGGCCAUACCACCCUGAAUGUGCCUGAUCUUGUCUAAUCUCAGAAGCUAAGCAGGGUCGGGCCUGGUUAGUACUUGGAUGAGAGAUCACCUAGGAAGAUCAGGUGCUGUAGGCG
This 119-nucleotide ribosomal RNA is filed under the name Pteropus alecto (black flying fox). RNAcentral also lists the same sequence under 1 other name. The record is from RNAcentral. Lineage: Eukaryota; Metazoa; Chordata; Mammalia; Chiroptera; Pteropodidae.